CUGGCAGCUUCCGACGACGGGUCCACAGUGACCACCGCCACCGGUGUUUCCUCGGCAACAGACAGAAGUCUUGUUGGUUGUCUAGGAUUAGAAACGAUAGGUGAAACUGUAAAUCUGAGAGAGGUUUGAGAAAGGUUGGGGUUUAAUUUAAAAGAAUUGGGUAGUUGGGUUUUGAAGGAUUUAGAGGUUGGGUGGCGAUGGAGAUAACUGGUUGAUGAUAUCAUGGCUGAUGAAAUUGUGGCCAUUUUUCAAGAAUCCUAGCAAUUUGUGUUGGGAGACAGAGCAAUGCUGAAAUUAUGGGUAGGGGUUUAUCCAGUUGAGCAAAGAUGAACGAAAACAGAAAGAGGAUAGAUCCUUUAACAAAAAUGUAAAAUCCAACUAUAGGAGGGACUCAUAUUUUAUUUUGAGUAACCUACAGUUUUGGUCCAUACGGUUUUCCUAAAUUUUCACUUUUGGUCCUAUAUUGGCUUUUUCUCAUGGGCGAUUCCUAUUGAGGGUUUUGGUAUCAUCGGUAUACUUUUAAAUAUAACAAUUUUGCCCUUACACUAAAUCAGCAAAAAAAAAAAAAAAAACUACAUGCACCGAUUAUAUGUAAAAAAAACUUUUCAAACUAUAUCUACCGUAACAAAGUUGUCGGGUUAGACAUUUAAGAUAUAAAAAUAAUAUAAAUCAUCGAUCAGGAUUAUAAUUAGUCAUACGUAUUUCAGACUAUGUAUUAUAAAGUUAUUUUAGUAAUUUAUCGAUAAGCGACAAAAUGACAAUCUUGACAAAAGAUUAUUUAUGACAAAUGGUCUUGAAGGAAAUUGUAGCAGUUGCAACAUGAAUCUCAUACACAUAAAACACACUCAAAUUCAACUCAUACAGAAGUUAUAGACGUCUGAAGUUUCACUAUCACACAACAUAUUAUAAAUAGUGAAUUAGAGAUGGAUUGAUUAUUAGUCUAAGUAAUUUAAACAAAAGUCGUAGUAGUCGUAAAUUGUCACACCCCCGAACCAGACGGCGGAAACGUCUGGGGGCUUGUGUGUGACUUCAUCUUGAUAUAUCAUUAUAGUGAAUAUAAAUGAAACAUAACAUCAUCAUUAUCAUGCAUAAUAUAAUACAACUGUCAUUUUUACAUCAUGUACAAUCUUUUAAAUAACAUGCCCAAAACAUUCAAUGUAUGAUGUUUAACAGUACACAAAACAAAAUCCGCUAUUCUUGUUGAUUCUUCUGCUUAACGAGUCCCUGAGAAUACAAGUUAAUUUGAAAACGUCAACAUACAUAAUGUUGGUGAGUUCAUAAGUAUAUUUGAGAAAAUGAUUUAUAUAACUUUGUAAUCAUAAGAAAAUCCUGUAUUUUCUUAAAAUAGUUUGGUAUGUUUAUGUCUAGUCUUGUAUUAAUGCGUGUGUGUUAUUGUUUAAUAGAAUGUCAAAAGUGAUUGAAGAGAAUGUAAAUAGAAUGUCCCCGGGCAACCCAAUAUUGCCCAUAAAAGAAGAAUAGAUAAUGUUGUCGUACCAACACCGAGGUUGAGUACCAAUGUGAGUAAGUUUCCGAGUAAUCCAAUCAUAAAAGAAAAUAGAUAAUGUUGUCGUACCGACACCGAGGUGGGGGUACCAGUGUGAGUAAGUUUCCGAGUAAUCCAACAUAAAAGAAAAUAGUCUUCCGCAAACUUCAUAACGUUAAUUCCUUUAAGUGAGCCGUCAUAACCAUACUAAAUAAUGACAAUUUCGUCUGUCUUGGCAUUAGUGAACGACGACUGAAAAAUAGAAUAAGGUUAUAGUCACCCUAGACCGAUGUAGUCUAACUGUAGCGAACAACUCAGGUGUAGGGUGUCAUCCCCGUAUAGAUCUAUACACAAAACCCCGCUCUCCCCUCCAAGAGACUCUGAUUAUAACUACAGGCUAGGACCGAACACUUAAUAGGUGUCAACCGAAAAAACUC
RNAcentral lists this long non-coding RNA (1920 nucleotides) under Lactuca sativa (garden lettuce). RNAcentral's name for it is "long non-coding RNA (LSAT_LNC003541)". The record is from RNAcentral. Lineage: Eukaryota; Viridiplantae; Streptophyta; Magnoliopsida; Asterales; Asteraceae.